UACAGAGGGGGCAAGCGUUAUUCGGAAUUACUGGGCGUAAAGGGCGCGUAGGCGGUUGUUUAAGUCAGAUGUGUAAUCCCCGAGCUCAACUUGGGAACUGCAUCUGAGACUGGAGAGCUAGAGUGCUGGAGAGGGUGGUGGAAUUCCACGUGUAGCGGUGAAAUGCGUAGAGAUGUGGAGGAACACCAGUGGCGAAGGCGGCCACCUGGACAGCAACUGACGCUGAGGCGCGAAAGUGUGGGGAGCAAACAGG
Molecule: ribosomal RNA, 253 nt
Filed under: uncultured bacterium
Lineage: Bacteria
Description: partial 16S ribosomal RNA
Rfam family: Bacterial small subunit ribosomal RNA
Source: RNAcentral